Molecule: ribosomal RNA, 612 nt
Filed under: Hydraena riparia
Lineage: Eukaryota; Metazoa; Arthropoda; Insecta; Coleoptera; Hydraenidae
Description: partial 16S ribosomal RNA
Rfam family: Bacterial large subunit ribosomal RNA
Source: RNAcentral
GUCCUUUUGAUAAUAAUAUAAGGUCUGACCUGCCCACUGAGAUUUUAAAGGGCCGCAGUAUUUUAACUGUGCAAAGGUAGCAUAAUAAUUAGUUUCUUAAUUAGAAGCUGGUAUGAAUGGUUGAACGAGAAAUUUACUGUCUCAAUUUAUAAGUUAAAAUUUUAUUUUUAAGUUAAAAAGCUUAAAUUAAUUUAAAAGACGAGAAGACCCUAUAGAGUUUUAUAGUUAUUUUUAUUUUAUAUUUAGAAUUUAUUAUUUUUAUUUAUAAUUAUUUUAUUGGGGUGAUAUAUAAAUUUAAUAAACUUUAUAUUUUUAUUAACAUAAAUUAAUGAUUAAUUGAUCCAUAUAAAUGAUUAAAAGAAAAAAUUACCUUAGGGAUAACAGCGUAAUUUUUUUUUAGAGUUCUAAUCGAAAAAAAAGAUUGCGACCUCGAUGUUGGAUUAAAAUUAAUUUUUGGUGUAGAAGCUAAAAUAUUGGGUCUGUUCGACCUUUAAAAUUUUACAUGAUCUGAGUUUAAACCGGUGUGAGCCAGGUUGGUUUCUAUCUUUAAAUAAGUUAAAUAUUUUAGUACGAAAGGACCAAAUAUUUUUAAAAAUUAAUUUUUUUUGAAUA